RNAcentral lists this ribosomal RNA (208 nucleotides) under uncultured Mesotoga sp. RNAcentral's name for it is "partial 16S ribosomal RNA". It matches the Rfam family "Bacterial small subunit ribosomal RNA", at positions 568 to 775 of the family's 1533-position model. The record is from RNAcentral. Lineage: Bacteria; Thermotogati; Thermotogota; Thermotogae; Kosmotogales; Kosmotogaceae.
AGCGUAGGUGGCCAAACAUGUCAACUGUGAAAACCCGGAGCUCAACUCCGGACUUGCAGUUGAAACUGGUAGGCUUGAGGACGGUAGAGGAAGACGGAACUGCCAGUGUAGGGGUAAAAUCCUUAGAUAUUGGCAGGAACGCCGGUGACGAAGGUGGUUUUCUGGGCCGGUUCUGACACUGAUGCUCGAAAGCCAGGGGAGCGAACGG